RNAcentral lists this long non-coding RNA (532 nucleotides) under Apteryx haastii (Great spotted kiwi). RNAcentral's name for it is "lncRNA (ENSAHAG00000007567.1)". Lineage: Eukaryota; Metazoa; Chordata; Aves; Apterygiformes; Apterygidae. The record is from RNAcentral.
CGCCGUCCUCUGCGGCCUAUGCGCUGCCCCGCGUCGUGCUUCGCGGCCGGGCGGGGAGGCCGCUCCGAGCUUGGCGGCUGGGCGGGGGGGGCAGGGCCCUCACGGCUGCCCUUGCCAAAUGGCUCCUCGCCGGAGGAGGAAGCUGCCGCCGCCGCGGGAAGGGGCGCGGCUGCCUCGAGAGACCCAACCAGGAAAAGAAUCUGAAUGGUCAGACUCUAUGUCAUGUCUUACGAAGAAACUGGAGGAAUUGAAUUUAGAUAUUGAAGAAGCUCUGAGUGCUGGCUCUUCUCCCUCCAGUACUCCUUCUGCCAAAAGGCACAAGCUACUGUGCCCUGUUCAAGUGGAGACUGGCUUUUAUGGAGAUCAUCAAGGAAAGAGAUCUUGGAAAAAUAGAAGAGCAGGCUACCAGGAUCUAGAUUGUUCAUCUAGCCCAGUGUCAGCUGGAGCACGACCAAAAACUGAUGUGCUGCUUCAGAAGCUAUGCAAAGAAAAAGCAGGUAAGACACUGCAUUACUUCUCAAAAGUUUCUUGA